GAGAUCGUAUAGGAGAGAGAUAUACCAACUGGUGGAGUGGUGUCAAAGCAACAACCUGGCACUCAACAUCAGUAAGACAAAGGAGUUGAUUGUGGACUUCAGGAAGGUUACCCAGGAGUUUCUCAAGAUUACCAGGUCUGCUUAAGUUCUCCAGCUCUGCUUCUAGUUCCCCAGGUCUGUCUCAAGAUCAGCGUGCAUGCCUCAAGUUCUUCAACCCUAUCUCAAGUUCCUCAGGUCUCCUUGGGUCUUCAUAUGCCAUCAUAGAGAGGGAGGUACUGUACUGACCUGUGCAGAGAACGUUCUGCUCUGAGAAAUCUGUGAAUACUAUUACCCCCUGUGUUAACACUGACACUACUGGUAAUUCCUUGUAUCUUGGUGCUGGAAACACA
Long non-coding RNA from Hypanus sabinus (Atlantic stingray), 389 nucleotides. RefSeq lists it as uncharacterized. The transcript is spliced from 3 exons. Lineage: Eukaryota; Metazoa; Chordata; Chondrichthyes; Myliobatiformes; Dasyatidae. The record is from RefSeq and is a predicted model, not a curated record.